GUUGUAGCUCAGUGGUACAGUGUUUGCCUAGUACAUUUGAGGCCCUGGGUUCAAUUCUCAGCAUAACA
Molecule: transfer RNA, 68 nt
Filed under: Marmota monax (woodchuck)
Lineage: Eukaryota; Metazoa; Chordata; Mammalia; Rodentia; Sciuridae
Description: tRNA.Thr
Source: RNAcentral